GUAGGGAAUAUUGAACAAUGGGGGCAACCCUGAUCCAGCGACGCCGCGUGAGUGAUGAAGGCCUUCGGGUCGUAAAGCUCUGUUGCAGGGGAAGAACACAAUGACGGUACCCUGCUAGAAAGGAUCGGCUAACUUCGUGCCAGCAGCCGCGGUAAGACGAGGGAUCCUAGCGUUGUUCGGAAUUAUUGGGCGUAAAGCGGGUGCAGGUGGCUUGGUAAGUCAGAUGUGAAAGCCUGGGGCUUAACCCCAGAAGUGCAUUUGAUACUGCUGAGCUUGAGUGCUGGAGAGGCUAUUAGAAUUCCUGGUGUAGUGGUGAAAUACGUAGAUAUCAGGAGGAAUACCGGAGGCGAAGGCGGAUAGCUGGCCAGACACUGACACUCAGACCCGAAAGCGUGGGGAUCAAACAGGAUUAGAAACCCCUGUAGUCC
RNAcentral lists this ribosomal RNA (428 nucleotides) under uncultured bacterium. Its description in RNAcentral is "partial 16S ribosomal RNA". It matches the Rfam family "Bacterial small subunit ribosomal RNA", at positions 354 to 796 of the family's 1533-position model. The record is from RNAcentral.